This 72-nucleotide transfer RNA is filed under the name Camelus bactrianus (Bactrian camel). It matches the Rfam family "tRNA". From Rfam's summary of the family: Transfer RNA (tRNA) molecules are approximately 80 nucleotides in length. Their secondary structure includes four short double-helical elements and three loops (D, anti-codon, and T loops). RNAcentral also lists the same sequence under 2 other names. The record is from Rfam by way of RNAcentral. Lineage: Eukaryota; Metazoa; Chordata; Mammalia; Artiodactyla; Camelidae.
GAGGGUAUAGCUCAGUGGUAGAGCAUGUGCUUAGCAUGCAUGAGGUCCUGGGUUCAAUUCCUGGUUCUUCUG